AUCUAUUUAGGUAGAGCGUUGUGUAUUACUCUUGGGGGUAGAGCACUGAUUCGGCUAGGGGGGCAUCCCGCCUUACCAAACCGAGACAAACUCCGAAUACCAAGAAGUACAGCACAGCAGACACACUGCGGGUGAUAACGUCCGUAGUGAAAAGGGAAACAACCCAGACCCACAGCUAAGGUCCCAAAAUAAUAACUAAGUGGAAAAGGAGGUGGGAAUACUCAGACAGCUAGGAGGUUGGCUUAGAAGCAGCCAUCCUUUAAAGAAAGCGUAAUAGCUCACUAGUCAAGUGUUCCUGUGCCGAAGAUGUAACGGGGCUAAAGUUAUUUACCGAAGCUUGGGGCUUGAUUUUAUCAAGCGGUAGCGGAGCGUUCUGUAGGCUGUUGAAGCUAUUCCGGUGAGGAGUGGUGGAGGUAUCAGAAGUGCGAAUGCUGGCAUGAGUAACGAUUAGAAGGGUGAGAUGCCCUUCCGCCGAAAGUCCAAGGGUUCCUGUUUUAAGCUAAUCUGAGCAGGGUUAGUCGGCCCCUAAGGCGAGGCUGAAAAGCGUAGCCGAUGGGAAUCAGGUUAAUAUUCCUGAACCAGAAAGUAGUGACGAAUUUCGUAAAUUGUAUCCGUUUAUAUAGAUUAUGGAUGCAAUGAAGAAGUUCCUGGAAAUAGCUCUUUCAUUUAUGACCGUACCCCAAACCGACACAGGUGGACUGGUAGAGAAUACCAAGGUGUUUGAGAUAACAACGUUGAAGGAACUAGGCAAAAUGCACUCGUAACUUAGGGAGAAGAGUGACCCAUCUAUAGGCAACUACUGGUGGGUGGCACAUAAAUAGGGGUAGCGACUGUUUACUAAAAACACAGGACUAUGCUAACUCGUAAGAGGAUGUAUAUGGUCUGACGCCUGCCCGGUGCUGGAAGGUUAAAUGAUGGUGUGUAUGCACUUGAUUGAAGCCCCAGUAAACGGCGGCCGUAACUAUGACGGUCCUAAGGUAGCGAAAUUCCUUGUCGGGUAAGUUCCGACCCGCACGAAUGGCGUAACGAUUUCCCCACUGUCUCCAACGUUGACUCAGUGAAGUUGAAUUCUUAGUGAAGAUGCUAAGUAUCUACGGUUAGACGGAAAGACCCCGUGAACCUUUACUAUAGCUUUGCAUUGAUGCCAGGAAUAAGAUUGUGCAGGAUAGGUGGGAGACUUUGAAGCAAAGACGCUAGUUUUUGUGGAGUCACCCUGUGAGAUACCACUCUUUUUUAUUCUUGAUGUCUAACUAUGACUCCUUGAAACAGGGUUUAGGACAUUGCAUGGUGGGUAGUUUGACUGGGGCGGUCGCCUCCUAAAGAGUAACGGAGGCGUGCGAAGGUUGGCUCAGNUUGGUCAGAAANCAAGCUNUUAGAGUNNAAUGGCAUAAGCUAGCCUGACUGCGAGACUGACAAGUCGAGCAGAGACGAAAGUCGGUCAUAGUGAUCCGGUGGUCCCGAGUGGAA
RNAcentral lists this ribosomal RNA (1467 nucleotides) under metagenome. Its description in RNAcentral is "bacterial LSU rRNA". It matches the Rfam family "Bacterial large subunit ribosomal RNA", at positions 864 to 2438 of the family's 2925-position model. The record is from RNAcentral.